Nicotiana tabacum (common tobacco) is the source of this 1317-nucleotide non-coding RNA. NCBI's taxonomy places the organism in Eukaryota, Viridiplantae, Streptophyta, Magnoliopsida, Solanales, Solanaceae. The record is from RefSeq and is a predicted model, not a curated record.
CCCAAUUAAACCAAUCCCUUAGCUCAUUAACUCAAAAGCCCAAACCUAGACACCCAUUUAAGAUAAUAUACAAGAAAAAUAAAAAAACCUAGACCUAGAGGGAGGGGUUCAGCCGUAUUUCACAUGGAGAAGACCUUCAUCGUCUUCAACGGAUUACACAAAACAAGGAGCAGACCUUCAUCUUGUUCUCCAGGACAAACCAUGAGAACAACCCCAUGAGAUCUUAAUCUUGAACACAAGACAAAAAUAUACAAAAAACCCUAAGAGAACAGUCAGCUGCCGCAUCAACCUUCACCCGCCGGCGACCACUCCACACACAUCUAUGACCAGCUAACUCCUCCAGCUCCAGCCGUCAGCGACCCCUUCAACACCGGCAAACUGACCCCCCUCUCUUCGGGCUGACACGAACGACCCCUCGCCUCAUUUUCUUGAAGCUAACACACACAAGAGCACUCCAAUCCCAACUGUUUCAAGAUCUCAAACAUUCAGGUUCCAUUGCCGGCAAGCUUCGCCGGGAACCGGCGGAAACUAACACGAAAAUCCCCCAAAAAUCAGCUCGAAAACUAUCCUUUUUUCAUCUCAAAACGGAACUAAAAAUCAGUCGACCCACAACCAUCGACCCCUCGAUUUUUUUCUCCUACGUACCAGCUGACACUCACACGAAAAGGUCACUGUUUGUUCAGCUCUGAAAUCUUACAUUGAAGUUGUGCUCGAAGUCGAGCUUCACCGGAAACCGGUUAGCUCAUCGUCUUUCAGUCGAGUCUAUCAAUUCUAACUGAGUUUCUGGCCGAUUUUGUUGCUGCUCGUAGAGUUUGCUCAUUUUAGGUUGUCGGUUUGAGUUUCGCUCGUGGUUUCGGAUUCGUCUCAUUGUUGUCUCCUUCAUUCGGAUUUACACUUUGGCAAAGUUGUUUCAAUUUUCGGGUACUAAAAAACACUUUCUUAACAGGGGUGCUACAUCUUCAAAUGGGUGUAGGUGGUUCCAUAGCAGACAGUGUUAAUUGUAGCUAGUGGUGCAUCCUCUUCUCAGCAGUCUUGGUGAGCCCCAUUUCAUCCCGAAGUCAUAUGUUGUAUCUUUUGUUCAUAUUGUUACCCCUUUUUGAGGUACAGCCGGGGCCUUGUCGCCGGCAUUAUCAUAACUAUGUUUUGUAUAUUUAGAGAUUCUGUAGACAUUAUGUGGGUUGUGUAUGGGUUCUAGAAAGGUCAGACAGAUUUUGUUGUGUUUUGGACUCUUGUUUCACUAAAUCAUAAGGUGUAUAUAUUUUCGGAACUCAACUAUGAUGUAGCAAAAUGAAAUGAGAUGAAUUAGCAAUGUUUAUA